GCCUUCGUGGUGUAGUGGUCUGCAUGUUCGACGCGUAACCGAGAGGUCCGUGGUUCGAUUCCCGGCGAAGGCA
Non-coding RNA from Stegodyphus mimosarum, 73 nucleotides. Lineage: Eukaryota; Metazoa; Arthropoda; Arachnida; Araneae; Eresidae. The record is from Rfam.